Molecule: non-coding RNA, 1058 nt
Organism: Lolium perenne
Lineage: Eukaryota; Viridiplantae; Streptophyta; Magnoliopsida; Poales; Poaceae
Source: RefSeq, a predicted model, not a curated record
AUGUUGAUAGGUGCUGCUACUUUGCUAAAAUAUAAUGAUAUGAUUUUACUUGUAUUUAGACUGCUAUAUUUAGUGUGUAUACAAUGCUCAAGCAGUGUUCCAGAAAUUGCUGCCAUGCGCCAAUUGGGCCAGUUUAGGUCCCACUUUAUGUUAAACCAGCAAUGUUCGUGUGGCUUAGAUAUUGCAUUCUCAGUCAGUUUUAUUUAAAACACCAGUUGAGCAUGUGAGUCAAAUGAAUUGGUUUGUCAACACUGAAUUAUAGAAACAACACCUGAAAAGUUAUUAUAGGAUGAACAUAGUUUCGUUAUUUCCCUUACUGAUCUACUUGAGUUACUACACUUGUUUUGCGUUUUUAGCCUCUUCUAUAAACGGCCCAGUUCAUUUCCAGGUUGUGAUAUAGUAGUUUGUUAACUUAAAACGGCCAGUUGGUGUUAUCAGGACUUUUACUUAGUCUGGAGUUAUAUGUUUGGUUAUCCGUGGCGUCGGAUGCUCACCAUAUGUGGCAUAUGUUUUAAAUUAGCAAAAUUCAUUAGUACAACCAAAUCAAAAUAGUCUUGAAGAUAUACUACAAAUAUUUACGUUCUUGUCCACCAGGUCACUAAAUGUGGUACGAAUGCAGUUUCUUUAAUCCUGCUCUAUCUAAUUUUUCAGGUCACUGAAACCAAAUCAUGCAUUUGAGUCGCUCAGUCGAUGGAGGACGAGCCAGAAACAGAAAACACUGUCGCAGAGGUACUUAUAGCAAAUACAGAAUGGACCAAUAUUCGAAAAGAGCACAAGACUUGAGGAUUUGAGCAUGCUUGUAGGCCAGAAGCAUCACCUUCAGACUUUGUCACUUGUUGACAGUCUAAAAUUGACCCUGAACUAAUAUGGGCACUUGCUAAGCAAGACAUCAAAGACCAGCACCAGCUGAAGAAGAGUAUGUAGCGAGGUUAUUCGUCAAAAGUAUUUACAAACCAUGGCACAUCUAAUUGUAAGCCCCUUGACCUGGCUGGGAUCACAGCCCCACAGAUCUUUUUCAUCGUACUCUGGUCUUUAUCGUAGCCUACCGGAAAUAGGGC